AUACGUAGGGUGCAAGCGUUAAUCGGAAUUACUGGGCGUAAAGCGUGCGCAGGCGGUUUUGUAAGACUGAGGUGAAAUCCCCGGGCUCAACCCGGGAACUGCCUUUGUGACUGCAAGGCUAGAGUACGGCAGAGGGGGGUGGAAUUCCGCGGGUAGCAGUGAAAUGCGUAGAUAUGCGGAGGAACACCGAUGGCGAAGGCAAUCCCCUGGGCCUGUACUGACGCUCAUGCACGAAAGCGUGGGGAGCAAACAGGAUUAGAUACCCUGGUAGUCCACGCCCUAAACGAUGUCAACUGGUUGUUGGGUCUUCAUUGACUCAGUAACGAAGCUAACGCGUGAAGUUGACCGCCUGGGGAGUACGGCCGCAAGGUUGAAACUCAAAUGAAUUGACGG
RNAcentral lists this ribosomal RNA (393 nucleotides) under uncultured bacterium. Its description in RNAcentral is "partial 16S ribosomal RNA". It matches the Rfam family "Bacterial small subunit ribosomal RNA", at positions 523 to 916 of the family's 1533-position model. The record is from RNAcentral.